UAGGGAGACCUAAUCCAUUUAGAAAUCGAAGACAAUGAAAAUUGUCAAUAGAAACUAAAUUGGUCUAACCUAGGUCGUUCGAGAUUGGUAGACAUCUUUCAAAGUAUUAUUCGGCUUCGUUCAAAACCAUAUAUAAUAAAUGGAAAAAGACAGCACCUAAUUGUCAAAGUUAGACUGCUGGAUGAAAUUCCAGCCAGAACCUUGAGAACUGCAUAAGAGAACAAGAAAAAGCAGGCAGACACAGACAUUUAGAUGGAUGUGAAAGCAAAAGAAAUUGU
RNAcentral lists this unclassified non-coding RNA (278 nucleotides) under uncultured Anabaena sp. RNAcentral describes it as "partial 16S-23S ribosomal RNA intergenic spacer". Lineage: Bacteria; Bacillati; Cyanobacteriota; Cyanophyceae; Nostocales; Nostocaceae. The record is from RNAcentral.